Molecule: unclassified non-coding RNA, 253 nt
Filed under: uncultured Gaiellales bacterium
Lineage: Bacteria; Bacillati; Actinomycetota; Thermoleophilia; Gaiellales
Description: contains 16S-23S intergenic spacer region
Rfam family: Bacterial small subunit ribosomal RNA
Source: RNAcentral
UACGUAGGGGGCGAGCGUUGUCCGGAUUUAUUGGGCGUAAAGAGCGCGUAGGCGGCCACGUAAGUCCGACGUGAAAUCUGGAGGCUCAACCUCCAGCGGUCGUUGGAAACUACAUGGCUAGAGUCCGGAAGAGGAGAGUGGAAUUCCUGGUGUAGCGGUGAAAUGCGCAGAUAUCAGGAAGAACACCGAUGGCGAAGGCAGCUCUCUGGGACGGUACUGACGCUGAGGCGCGAAAGCGUGGGGAGCGAACAGG